This 229-nucleotide ribosomal RNA is filed under the name uncultured bacterium. Its description in RNAcentral is "partial 16S ribosomal RNA". It matches the Rfam family "Bacterial small subunit ribosomal RNA", at positions 568 to 796 of the family's 1533-position model. The record is from RNAcentral.
UGCGUAGGCGGAUUAAUAAGUCAGUGGUGAAAUCUUUCGGCUCAACCGAGAAACUGCCAUUGAUACUGUUGAUCUUGAGUUCGGUUGAGGUAGGCGGAAUGUGUAAUGUAGCGGUGAAAUGCUUAGAUAUUACACAGAACACCAAUUGCGUAGGCAGCUUACUAGACCGACACUGACGCUGAGGUACGAAAGCGUGGGUAGCGAACAGGAUUAGAUACCCUGGUAGUCC